Heterocephalus glaber (naked mole-rat) is the source of this 3229-nucleotide long non-coding RNA. Lineage: Eukaryota; Metazoa; Chordata; Mammalia; Rodentia; Bathyergidae. The record is from Ensembl.
GUUCAGGCUGGCCUUGAACUCACUGUGUAGCUCAGGCUGGCCUCAAACUCAUGGUGAUCCACUUGCCUCAGCCUCCCGAGUGCUGGGAUUAUAUGUAUGUGCCACCGUAUUUGGCUUUUAACUGCUAAUUUUUAAAUAAGGAUAAUUUCAACCCAUUUCUCUUGGCAAGUGUCAGUCAGAGAAUGUUUCCUAUGCAUAUCAAGUCUCCUGUGUCAGAGAGUCUUGGUUUUUAGCAGGCCUGUUUUAUCAACGUAGUUUACUUGGGAUGUCACUAGUCUUGGUCUCCCUCUUUCAAAACUUGUGCUGAAUUUCUCCUUUUCCUCAGGCUAUGAUUUCCACCAUUUUCCUUUCUAAUUGGCAUGUCAGUGUGAAGGUACUUGAGAAGCUGCUCUGGAGACUUUUAUUCUAAUCUGAUUAAUUUCAUCUCUUUGUUCUUUGGGAUUUAAGAGUAAUGCCAUGGAAAAGAUAGAUAGAAAAAGGCUGAGAGGAGUUAAUUCCAUCUGUGGUACUGUAGUCACAAUUGGUUUUGGAUAAGGAUGAAAUAAGUUCAUUUGAUCAUCAUUACCUAAGAGCCUAAACUGUAUGAAUGGGUUUGGAUCAUUUCAUUGUAGGCCCAAUGAAAGCCCGCCACAUUGGCAACUGUAACCUAUGUGAGAUGGUUGCACACAAAGCCGUAAGUUGAACACACCACACACAGUUUUUUCUCCAUCAUAGGACCUCUGUUUAGUUUCCCUUGGGGGCUAAAAGAUGCACAUCAACCUGUUUAACUAGUUUCUAAGUGUAGAAUACCUAGAUACCAGAAUCUGCUGGAAGAGGGAAGAGUAGCCAUCCCUGCAUUCUUGGUGGUUCUGUCUGAAGGAAGGUAAUUCCAUUUCGUUGCUGUGUGACGGGUAGGUAGCUUGUUAAAGGAUGUAUGUUCUUUACGGAGUGUAAGUCCUUCUAUCCAUUGUGUGUUUGUGCUCAGGGAGUCAUCACAUGUGCUUCUUUGGAGAGUAGGAAAUGAGUAUCAAAAGCCAGUCAUAAGUAUCUGCUUUCCAGUGACCCAAGUACUCUUGUUUCCUGGUGGCCUCUUUUUGGGAAUAGAAGGAGACAUUCAGGCAAGAACUGCUUUGGCUGUGUGUGCAUAUGGUGAUGGUCAGUGGCAGCCCUUUGCUCCAUGGAACUCCUCUAGCACUAUGUAAAUCCCUAAAUACUAUCUCAGUUAUUGUAGGUGAGAAGUUAGGCUGGAGUAUCUGACCCAAAGGUUAGAAAACUUUACUAAGCACUGCAUGGCCAGAUUUCGGAAUCGCUGCACUCUGGAGUGUGCAGUGUUCCCACUUGACCAGGAACACAGAGGCUCUCCUGUUUGAAAACUCCUUGUAUUGACACUAAGAAAACACAGUUAAUAGCCUAGAGCUCGAUAUAGUAUGGACAGCACGGCUCCUUUAAAAAUUUUCAUUCUUCACAAACUAAGUCCAAAGGCAAGACAAGAGGCUUUAAAGUUGUUUGUAAUCCUGGUCACUGAUUUGAACUCCUGAUCUGAUUUCUGUUAUAUGUACCGUACUUUCUUAUAGGCCCCAGGCACGUAGAUCGCAUUUCAUGUCAUUACUCUUCUUUAUUCUAAGACAGUGAUCCUGAACCUUUUAGAGCUUACAGUGAUACAAACAGCCCACUGUGGCACACGUACUGUAAGUUUGCCACCACUGCUCUAAGAUAUAUUGAAAACAUGUCCUAGAAAUUUAGAGAUAUGGGCUAUUUUAUGAAAUUUCACAGUUUUCUUAUCAUUGAAACAGAUUGUUUUGUUUUAUUUAAGUGUAAAAAAUAAAAUAUAUGAAAUUACUUUCAGGGACUGUAUUUUCUAAAGUUUUGAUAUAGGAUUAUAAACAGUUCUGAAGUUUUGGGUUGAAAUACAUUGUAUAUAGCAGCGAUGGUGAACCUUUUAGAACUUUCAAUGAUCCAAACAGCCUGCUACAGCAUGCGUGCCAUAGAUUUGCCACCACUGGUAUAAUACUGUAUACCAGUGGUAUAUAGUGGUACUGAAGAGCCCUGUCAAUUUAAGGGUCUCUCUUCUUGAACUUUCUUCAUCACUCAGGGUUGCAAUGCCUAGUCUGCAAUAUCCUUUGUUACAGAUUGUUAUUGUUGAUUUUAGGUUUGGACCAUGAAUCAUCUGGAAGAUACCUUAAUUCCUUCUCUUAUGUCCUAAACAGUACAUUUUACUUUAGAAGUCCAUGUUAAAAAUACCACUUGUCUCUUCCUGAGAUUUUUUUUUUUUUUGGUACCAGGGAUCGAACUCCGGUCCUUGCGCUUGCAAAGCAGGCAGCAGAACCACUGAGCUAAAUCCCCGGCCUCUUCCUGAGAUUUUGUCCCAUGAGUUAAUUAGCUUUCAUUGAACCAAGCUGAGUUAUUUCCAUUUACCCAUGUUGGAAAACAAGUAAAGUCUAUAGAAAGCAAGUAGUCCUGUGAUCCAUGACUCUGGUACAACCAUUUUCCCUUAAUAAUAAUGGGAAGUGUUUUGAAAUUCCCAGAAGAAAUGCUGGGAUGCUUUACAUUUAAAAAAAUCAUUUAUAAAUGCUUAGUAAUCAAAAUAGUGCAUCCUAAGAAAGACUUUGGGUAAGGAUAAUGGGAAUACAGGACGGUGCUUGAAGAUUUCCUAAACUACUUUAUGCCACUUAGCUUAUAUUUCUGAAGGAUCUGCUUUGUUGCUAUGUACUCAUCUAUCAGUUAAUUGAAAGUAAUGUUUUCUAAAAAAAAAUAAUAAUAAUAAUUUUUCUUAGUCAAUAUUUAAGCAGUUACCAACCGUGAAGACAGUCUUUCCCUUCUGUUCUACAUCAUACACUGAUGCUGACAUUAAAAAAGGGAUGUUGAAGGAGAACUGUCUCAGCCUUGUCUUUUUUCUUUAAAAUACAAAAAUAUCCUAAUUAAUCAUUUAUUGUAGUCAACUUGUUUUAUAUGUCACCCUCUCGAGAAAUGCUGUCAAUAUCAACAAUUUCUAUGUUAAGAACCCCAAACUGUUAACUUAAUCCUUAUGUCCUGCUGAGUGGCUUUUCAUUUAAAAUACCAGAUUUUAUCACCCUGUGGCACUCAGUGUGUUGCUGUGAUACACUGAUGAUCCCAGCUAUGUUCUUUAAAUAGCUUGGUUCUUGUGUUUUUAUAUUAUGUAACAAUUUUGUGAUGCUUUUGUGCAUUCUUUGUCUUCUCUUCAGAGUUUUGAAAUCUGUCAUAAAUAAACUUUUUCACUGUGCACCUGAAA